CGCUGGCGGCGUGCCUAAUACAUGCAAGUCGAGCGGACCGACGGGAGCUUGCUCCCUUAGGUCAGCGGCGGACGGGUGAGUAACACGUGGGUAACCUGCCUGUAAGACUGGGAUAACUCCGGGAAACCGGGGCUAAUACCGGAUGCUUGAUUGAACCGCAUGGUUCAAUCAUAAAAGGUGGCUUUUAGCUACCACUUACAGAUGGACCCGCGGCGCAUUAGCUAGUUGGUGAGGUAACGGCUCACCAAGGCGACGAUGCGUAGCCGACCUGAGAGGGUGAUCGGCCACACUGGGACUGAGACACGGCCCAGACUCCUACGGGAGGCAGCAGUAGGGAAUCUUCCGCAAUGGACGAAAGUCUGACGGAGCAACGCCGCGUGAGUGAUGAAGGUUUUCGGAUCGUAAAACUCUGUUGUUAGGGAAGAACAAGUACCGUUCGAAUAGGGCGGUACCUUGACGGUACCUAACCAGAAAGCCACGGCUAACUACGUGCCAGCAGCCGCGGUAAUACGUAGGUGGCAAGCGUUGUCCGGAAUUAUUGGGCGUAAAGCGCGCGCAGGCGGUUUCUUAAGUCUGAUGUGAAAGCCCCCGGCUCAACCGGGGAGGGUCAUUGGAAACUGGGGAACUUGAGUGCAGAAGAGGAGAGUGGAAUUCCACGUGUAGCGGUGAAAUGCGUAGAGAUGUGGAGGAACACCAGUGGCGAAGGCGACUCUCUGGUCUGUAACUGACGCUGAGGCGCGAAAGCGUGGGGAGCGAACAGGAUUAGAUACCCUGGUAGUCCACGCCGUAAACGAUGAGUGCUAAGUGUUAGAGGGUUUCCGCCCUUUAGUGCUGCAGCAAACGCAUUAAGCACUCCGCCUGGGGAGUACGGUCGCAAGACUGAAACUCAAAGGAAUUGACGGGGGCCCGCACAAGCGGUGGAGCAUGUGGUUUAAUUCGAAGCAACGCGAAGAACCUUACCAGGUCUUGACAUCCUCUGACAACCCUAGAGAUAGGGCUUCCCCUUCGGGGGCAGAGUGACAGGUGGUGCAUGGUUGUCGUCAGCUCGUGUCGUGAGAUGUUGGGUUAAGUCCCGCAACGAGCGCAACCCUUGAUCUUAGUUGCCAGCAUUCAGUUGGGCACUCUAAGGUGACUGCCGGUGACAAACCGGAGGAAGGUGGGGAUGACGUCAAAUCAUCAUGCCCCUUAUGACCUGGGCUACACACGUGCUACAAUGGGCAGAACAAAGGGCAGCGAAGCCGCGAGGCUAAGCCAAUCCCACAAAUCUGUUCUCAGUUCGGAUCGCAGUCUGCAACUCGACUGCGUGAAGCUGGAAUCGCUAGUAAUCGCGGAUCAGCAUGCCGCGGUGAAUACG
RNAcentral lists this ribosomal RNA (1354 nucleotides) under Bacillus licheniformis. RNAcentral's name for it is "bacterial SSU rRNA". It matches the Rfam family "Bacterial small subunit ribosomal RNA", at positions 34 to 1370 of the family's 1533-position model. The record is from RNAcentral. Lineage: Bacteria; Bacillati; Bacillota; Bacilli; Caryophanales; Bacillaceae.